GAGAUCAAAGAAGUUCGCGCGGGCGACAUCGCGGCUGCUAUCGGCCUGAAAGACGUGACUACCGGUGACACCCUGUGUGAUCCGGAAAACCCGAUCAUUCUGGAACGUAUGGAAUUCCCUGAGCCGGUAAUCUCCAUCGCGGUAGAACCGAAAACCAAAGCUGACCAGGAAAAAAUGGGUCUGGCUCUGGGCCGUCUGGCGAAAGAAGACCCGUCGUUCCGCGUAUGGACUGAUGAAGAAUCUAACCAGACCAUCAUCGCUGGUAUGGGUGAACUUCACCUAGAUAUCAUCGUUGACCGUAUGAAGCGUGAAUUCAACGUUGAAGCGAACGUGGGUAAACCUCAGGUUGCUUACCGCGAAGCGAUUCGCGCGAAAGUUACCGACAUCGAAGGUAAACACGCGAAACAGUCUGGUGGUCGCGGUCAGUAUGGUCAUGUUGUUAUCGACAUGUACCCGCUGGAGCCGGGCUCUAACCCGAAAGGUUACGAGUUCAUCAACGACAUCAAAGGUGGUGUAAUUCCUGGCGAGUACAUCCCGGCCGUUGAUAAAGGCAUCCAGGAGCAGCUGAAAUCUGGCCCGCUGGCGGGUUAUCCGGUAGUUGAUCUCGGUGUGCGUCUGCACUUCGGUUCUUACCAUGACGUUGACUCCUCUGAGCUGGCGUUUAAACUGGCUGCGUCUAUCGCCUUUAAAGAAGGCUUUAAGAAAGCAAAACCAGUUCUGCUUGAGCCGAUCAUGAAGGUUGAAGUAGAAACACCUGAAGAGAAUACCGGUGACGUUAUCGGCGACCUUAGCCGCCGUCGUGGUAUGCUCAAAGGUCAGGAAUCUGAAGUUACAGGCGUUAAGAUCCACGCUGAAGUACCGCUGUCUGAAAUGUUCGGAUAUGCAACUCAGCUGCGUUCUCUGACCAAAGGUCGCGCAUCGUACACUAUGGAAUUCCUGAAGUAUGAUGAUGCGCCGAACAACGUUGCUCAGGCCGUAAUCGAAGCCCGUGGUAAAUAAGCCGCAGGGUUAAAAACCAAAAUCCCGUGCUCUCUCCUGAAGGGGAGAGCGCUAUAGUAAGGAAUAUAGCCGUGUCUAAAGAAAAAUUUGAACGUACAAAACCGCACGUUAACGUCGGCACCAUCGGCCACGUUGACCACGGUAAAACUACCCUGACCGCUGCAAUCACCACCGUACUGGCUAAAACCUACGGCGGUGCUGCUCGUGCAUUCGACCAGAUCGAUAACGCUCCGGAAGAAAAAGCGCGUGGUAUCACCAUCAACACUUCUCACGUUGAAUACGAUACCCCGACCCGCCACUACGCACACGUAGACUGCCCGGGGCACGCCGACUAUGUAAAAAACAUGAUCACCGGUGCUGCNAGGUAGAGAAUACCAAGGCGCUUGAGAGAACUCGGGUGAAGGAACUAGGCAAAAUGGUGCCGUAACUUCGGGAGAAGGCACGCUGACACGUAGGUGAAGUGAUUUACUCACGGAGCUGAAGUCAGCCGAAGAUACCAGCUGGCUGCAACUGUUUAUUAAAAACACAGCACUGUGCAAACACGAAAGUGGACGUAUACGGUGUGACGCCUGCCCGGUGCCGGAAGGUUAAUUGAUGGGGUCAGCGCAAGCGAAGCUCCUGAUCGAAGCCCCGGUAAACGGCGGCCGUAACUAUAACGGUCCUAAGGUAGCGAAAUUCCUUGUCGGGUAAGUUCCGACCUGCACGAAUGGCGUAAUGAUGGCCAGGCUGUCUCCACCCGAGACUCAGUGAAAUUGAACUCGCUGUGAAGAUGCAGUGUACCCGCGGCAAGACGGAAAGACCCCGUGAACCUUUACUAUAGCUUGACACUGAACAUUGAGCCUUGAUGUGUAGGAUAGGUGGGAGGCUUUGAAGUGUGGACGCCAGUCUGCAUGGAGCCGACCUUGAAAUACCACCCUUUAAUGUUUGAUGUUCUAACGUGGACCCGUGAUCCGGGUUGCGGACAGUGUCUGGUGGGUAGUUUGACUGGGGCGGUCUCCUCCUAAAGAGUAACGGAGGAGCACGAAGGUUGGCUAAUCCUGGUCGGACAUCAGGAGGUUAGUGCAAUGGCAUAAGCCAGCUUGACUGCGAGCGUGACGGCGCGAGCAGGUGCGAAAGCAGGUCAUAGUGAUCCGGUGGUUCUGAAUGGAAGGGCCAUCGCUCAACGGAUAAAAGGUACUCCGGGGAUAACAGGCUGAUACCGCCCAAGAGUUCAUAUCGACGGCGGUGUUUGGCACCUCGAUGUCGGCUCAUCACAUCCUGGGGCUGAAGUAGGUCCCAAGGGUAUGGCUGUUCGCCAUUUAAAGUGGUACGCGAGCUGGGUUUAGAACGUCGUGAGACAGUUCGGUCCCUAUCUGCCGUGGGCGCUGGAGAACUGAGGGGGGCUGCUCCUAGUACGAGAGGACCGGAGUGGACGCAUCACUGGUGUUCGGGUUGUCAUGCCAAUGGCACUGCCCGGUAGCUAAAUGCGGAAGAGAUAAGUGCUGAAAGCAUCUAAGCACGAAACUUGCCCCGAGAUGAGUUCUCCCUGAGACUUUAGGUCUCCUGAAGGAACGUUGAAGACGACGACGUUGAUAGGCCGGGUGUGUAAGCGCAGCGAUGCGUUGAGCUAACCGGUACUAAUGAACCGUGAGGCUUAACCUU
RNAcentral lists this ribosomal RNA (2640 nucleotides) under Salmonella enterica subsp. enterica serovar Typhi. Its description in RNAcentral is "bacterial LSU rRNA". The stretch from base 1140 to 2640 matches the Rfam family "Bacterial large subunit ribosomal RNA". Lineage: Bacteria; Pseudomonadati; Pseudomonadota; Gammaproteobacteria; Enterobacterales; Enterobacteriaceae. The record is from RNAcentral.